ACGGAGGGUGCAAGCGUUAUCCGGAUUUAUUGGGUUUAAAGGGUCCGUAGGCGGACUUAUAAGUCAGUGGUGAAAGCCUGUCGCUUAACGAUAGAACUGCCAUUGAUACUGUAAGUCUUGAGUAUAUUUGAGGUAGCUGGAAUAAGUAGUGUAGCGGUGAAAUGCAUAGAUAUUACUUAGAACACCAAUUGCGAAGGCAGGUUACCAAGAUAUAACUGACGCUGAGGGACGAAAGCGUGGGGAGCGAACAGG
RNAcentral lists this ribosomal RNA (252 nucleotides) under uncultured bacterium. RNAcentral's name for it is "partial 16S ribosomal RNA". It matches the Rfam family "Bacterial small subunit ribosomal RNA", at positions 525 to 776 of the family's 1533-position model. The record is from RNAcentral.